Molecule: non-coding RNA, 85 nt
Organism: Mycena latifolia
Lineage: Eukaryota; Fungi; Basidiomycota; Agaricomycetes; Agaricales; Mycenaceae
Source: the annotation of a GenBank genome assembly
GACUGUAUAGCUCAGCGGUUAGAGUCCCAAUUUUUUCCAGGCUGGCACCGUUUCGUUCGCGUGGGUUCGAAUCCCAAUAAGGUUG